AACUAGUCGUUGGUUGCGUAUCACGCCUUGGAUCGUUCGGCUGUAGCCAUAUUGGCUUGGUAUGAUUGUCGUGUCAGUGAAUAGUGUCGCGACAAAAGUUAUUAAAAUAAUAAUACUAUUAUUGUUGUGUACCGGAGUGGAUAUUGUUACAGAUAAUAAUAAUUAUUAAAAUGGAAGAGACUAAAAUAAUUUAUCAUAUUGAUGAUGAGGAAACGCCUUAUUUAGUUAAACUAACAAUAUCACCGGAACGAGUGACACUAGCAGACUUUAAGAAUGUAUUGAAUCGUCCGAAUUACAAAUUUUUUUUCAAGUCUAUGGACGAUGAUUUCGGAGUUGUCAAAGAAGAAAUUGUUGACGACGAUGCACAUCUUCCCUGUUUCAAUGGACGAGUCGUUUCAUGGCUCGUAUCCGCUGAGGGAAGUAAUGUAUCUGAUGGAGCGUCACAGUGUACAGAUUCAGUGGCUCAUACUGAUGCUAAACAUGACAGGGUUGAUCAUGUACCAACAGGUCUUACGAACCGCGGACCACCGACAAUGUCACACGACGACACGCUUACUGAAACAGAAAGUAUUAUAAGUAGUCGACAGGGUCAUCAUCAUUUACAUAAAAGUUCAAAACAUCAUGCUGAUAAAUAUGAAAAGUAUUCUAAAUAUAAUGGAUUACGUAUAAAUGGACAUUCAAAACACCGUUCAGGGCACGGUUACGAAACAGCGUCAAUAUUGAGUUCUGAUCUCGAGACAUCAACAUUCAUGGAGUCUGAUGACGAUGCGAGCAGUCGUAUAACAUCAACAACUGGACGUCACACAAAUAUGAGUAGUACUAUUGAACGUGCUACAUUAGAUCGCCGUAGACCUCAAAGACGACGGCGACAUAGACUCCCGCCAAUGUCUCGUACAUCCUCAUUCAGUAGUAUUACUGACAGUACCAUGUCACUCAAUAUUAUAACGGUAUCUUUGAACAUGGACACUGUUAAUUUUCUUGGUAUUAGUAUCGUGGGGCAAAGCAAUAAAGGUGGCGACGGUGGAAUAUACGUCGGCUCUAUUAUGAAAGGAGGCGCAGUAGCUUUAGACGGCAGGAUAGAACCCGGUGAUAUGAUUCUCCAAGUAAACGACAUAAAUUUCGAAAACAUGUCUAACGACGAGGCAGUAAGAGUUUUACGUGAAGUCGUUCAAAAACCUGGGCCAAUAAAACUGGUCGUGGCAAAGUGUUGGGAUCCAAAUCCAAAGGGCUACUUCACAAUUCCACGCACAGAACCGGUUCGCCCAAUAGAUCCUGGCGCUUGGGUAGCGCACACAGCAGCAAUACGCGGUGAAGGUUUUCCACCACGUCCACCCAGCGCGACGACCUUGACUUCGACAUCUAGUAGUCUCGCUAGUACGCUGCCCGAUACUGAACGACCACUGGAAGAGUUACGCUUGAGUAUCAAUACAGAUAUGCCAACGAUAGUACGUGCAAUGGCCCGGCCGGAUUCUGGUCUCGAGAUCCGUGACCGUAUGUGGUUAAAAAUAACAAUCCCAAAUGCAUUCAUCGGUGCAGAUGUUGUUGAUUGGCUAAAUACACACGUUGAGGGGUUUAUUGAUCGUCGCGAUGCGCGUAAAUAUGCAUCGCUUAUGCUUAAAGCUGGAUUCAUCAGACACACCGUCAAUAAGAUAACAUUUUCCGAACAAUGCUAUUAUAUAUUUGGUGAUUUAUGCUCGACAAUGGGCAGCAUGAAACUCGACGGCGAUACUGUUGGACCCCUGCCACCACCCAUCGGUUGGGAGCUUGGAACGUAUUCAGGACCUUAUGCACCCCAUUCCGCUGCUGGAUACAGUCCAAUGCCCUUUAAUUUCACCAAUGAACCUACUAUAUAUGGUUAUCAUCGUGAAGAAAGUAUCCACAGUGAGUCAGGCGGAAGUAGCGCGGGUAGUGAGCAUAUUUGCAAAGAGCCAAUUCAUGACUUAAAAUCGUGUUCAUCAGCAUCUGAGUCUGAACUCCACGUACCACCAACAGUGCCGAACAAAAAUUCCGGCAACGGCAACGGAUCUAAUGGGAAACGAUCCAACGGCAGCCGCAGCAGAUCAAGCGGUUCUGAGCAAUCGGUACAAACAGGCACUGGCUCGUCGAAUCAGCAGAAUCAGCAAGAUUUAUCUGGAUUGUCUACGACAAUGGGGCACCUAUUUCUUUAAAAAAAUAAUUAUAAACAACCGGACAAUUAUUUCAACUUACGAACGUAUGAAUUGUCGUCUGCUACUGCAAAAAGAAAACAAUCUUUAUUUAUUUUUAUUUCUUUUUUAUACUACUUUGCUACAACAUUUAUAUAAAAAAGUAAAUUUAAAAAUAAAUAAAUAAUACGAGCUAUAGGUAUAAGCAUGUAAUGCUUAACUGAUAAAUCGUUAACGGGAUAACGUGCCAAAAGUGAUGUUUAUUAUCCUGCUGCUGUAUACAAGGCAUAUACAAUAACUUUCAAAUCAACUGUAAAUAUAUCAAAUGAGGACGAACAAAAAAUAACGCUCAAAAUUAAAAAAAAAAGUGCCAUCAAACUUUCAUACUGACGCGAAUAACAUUGAUAAAUUUUUCUAUGUCGCCUGAAAUUUUAAUAAAAAAAAAAAAAAUAAAAAAAAAUAAACAAAAUAAAAAAUAAACUUUUUAGAAUUGUUUAAUAUU
Molecule: unclassified non-coding RNA, 2646 nt
Filed under: Cotesia glomerata
Lineage: Eukaryota; Metazoa; Arthropoda; Insecta; Hymenoptera; Braconidae
Description: segment polarity protein dishevelled homolog DVL-3, transcript variant X1
Source: RNAcentral